UUACCCGCUGAAUUUAAGCAUAUCACUAAGCGGAGGAAAAGAAACUAACAAGGAUUCCCCUAGUAACGGCGAGUGAAGCGGGAUAAGCCCAGCACCGAAUCCCCGACGUCAACCCGUCGCGGGACCUGUGGUGUUCGGGACAGCCCUUGGAGCGGCGGUCGAUCGUCCGAGUCCUCCUGAUCGGGGCCUCUGCCCAUAGCGGGUGUCAGGCCUCUACCGGCGAUCGCCUCCGUUCCAGCUGGAGCGUCCUAGGAGUCGGGUUGUUUGGGAAUGCAGCCCAAAGUGGGUGGUAAACUCCAUCUAAGGCUAAAUACUGGCACGAGUCCGAUAGCGGACAAGUACCGUGAGGGAAAGUUG
Molecule: ribosomal RNA, 357 nt
Filed under: Dysponetus sp. NZ HW-2008
Lineage: Eukaryota; Metazoa; Annelida; Polychaeta; Phyllodocida; Chrysopetalidae
Description: eukaryotic LSU rRNA
Rfam family: Eukaryotic large subunit ribosomal RNA
Source: RNAcentral